UCUCCGUAGGUGAACCUGCGGAGGGAUCAUUACAGAGUUUUCUAACUCCCAAACCCUUUGUGAACACAACUUGUUGCUUCGGGGGCGACCCUGCCGUUUCGACGGCGAGCGCCCCCGGAGGCCUUCAAACACUGCAUCUUUGCGUCGGAGUUUAAGUAAAUUAAACAAAACUUUCAACAACGGAUCUCUUGGUUCUGGCAUCGAUGAAGAACGCAGC
Molecule: unclassified non-coding RNA, 217 nt
Filed under: uncultured fungus
Lineage: Eukaryota; Fungi
Description: sequence contains ITS1, 5.8S rRNA gene
Rfam family: 5.8S ribosomal RNA (bases 169-217)
Source: RNAcentral